CCUUCGAUAGCUCAGUUGGUAGAGCGGUGGACUGUAGUAAGACUAAUAGACUGGAUAUCCAUAGGUCGCUGGUUCAAAUCCGGCUCGAAGGA
Non-coding RNA from Henosepilachna vigintioctopunctata, 92 nucleotides. The record is from the annotation of a GenBank genome assembly. NCBI's taxonomy places the organism in Eukaryota, Metazoa, Arthropoda, Insecta, Coleoptera, Coccinellidae.